This 95-nucleotide transfer RNA is filed under the name Clostridiales bacterium. RNAcentral describes it as "tRNA-Ser". It matches the Rfam family "tRNA". Rfam says of the family: Transfer RNA (tRNA) molecules are approximately 80 nucleotides in length. Their secondary structure includes four short double-helical elements and three loops (D, anti-codon, and T loops). Further hydrogen bonds mediate the characteristic L-shaped molecular structure. tRNAs have two regions of fundamental functional importance: the anti-codon, which is responsible for specific mRNA codon recognition, and the 3' end, to which the tRNAs corresponding amino acid is attached (by aminoacyl-tRNA synthetases). tRNAs cope with the degeneracy of the genetic code in two manners: having more than one tRNA (with a specific anti-codon) for a particular amino acid; and 'wobble' base-pairing, i.e. permitting non-standard base-pairing at the 3rd anti-codon position. Lineage: Bacteria; Bacillati; Bacillota; Clostridia; Eubacteriales. The record is from RNAcentral.
GUUCACAUAAGCCUAAUCGGUAAGGCACUUGCUUGGAAAGUAAGGAGUAGCCGGAGUGAUCCGGUGUGUUGGUUCGAGCCCAACUGUGAACGCCA